RNAcentral lists this ribosomal RNA (497 nucleotides) under uncultured bacterium. RNAcentral's name for it is "partial 16S ribosomal RNA". It matches the Rfam family "Bacterial small subunit ribosomal RNA", at positions 28 to 507 of the family's 1533-position model. The record is from RNAcentral.
GACGAACGCUGGCGGCGUGCCUAAUACAUGCAAGUUGAGCGCUGAAGGUUGGUACUUGUACCAACUGGAUGAGCAGCGAACGGGUGAGUAACGCGUGGGGAAUCUGCCUUUGAGCGGGGGACAACAUUUGGAAACGAAUGCUAAUACCGCAUAAAAACUUUAAACACAAGUUUUAAGUUUGAAAGAUGCAAUUGCAUCACUCAAAGAUGAUCCCGCGUUGUAUUAGCUAGUUGGUGAGGUAAAGGCUCACCAAGGCGAUGGUACAUAGCCGACCUGAGAGGGUGAUCGGCCACAUUGGGACUGAGACACGGCCCAAACUCCUACGGGAGGCAGCAGUAGGGAAUCUUCGGCAAUGGACGAAAGUCUGACCGAGCAACGCCGCGAGAGUGAAGAAGGUUUUCGGAUCGUAAAACUCUGUUGGUAGAGAAGAACGUUGGUGAGAGUGGAAAGCUCAUCAAGUGACGGUAACUACCCAGAAAGGGACGGCUAACUACGUG